UACGUAGGGUGCGAGCGUUGCCCGGAUUUAUUGGGCGUCAAGGGCGCGUAGGCGGCCUGGCGCGUCGGCUGUGAAAUCUCCCGGCUCAACUGGGAGGGGACGGCCGAUACGGCUGGGCUUGAGCGAGGUAGGGGAGAGUGGAAUUCCCGGUGUAGUGGUGAAAUGCGUAGAUAUCGGGAGGAACACCAGUGGCGAAGGCGGCUUCCUGGCCUGUUCUUGACGCUGAUGCGCGAAAGCUAGGGGAGCAAACGGG
RNAcentral lists this ribosomal RNA (253 nucleotides) under uncultured bacterium. RNAcentral's name for it is "partial 16S ribosomal RNA". It matches the Rfam family "Bacterial small subunit ribosomal RNA", at positions 524 to 776 of the family's 1533-position model. The record is from RNAcentral.